CCCCCGUAGGGGCGGCAGUGGGGAAUAUUGGGCAAUGGGGGAAACCCUGACCCAGCAACGCCGCGUGAGGGAAGAAGGUCCUCGGAUUGUAAACCUCUGUUCCUGGAGAAGAGAAGAAGACGGUAUCCAGGGAGGAAGCCCCGGCUAACUACGUGCCAGCAGCCCCGGUCA
This 171-nucleotide ribosomal RNA is filed under the name uncultured bacterium. Its description in RNAcentral is "partial 16S rRNA". It matches the Rfam family "Bacterial small subunit ribosomal RNA", at positions 335 to 523 of the family's 1533-position model. The record is from RNAcentral.